AACGAACGCUGGCGGCAUGCUUAACACAUGCAAGUCGAACGGAACUCCGGGUUCGCCUGGGGUUUAGUGGCGCACGGGUGAGUAGCGCGUGGGAACCUGCCCUCUUGUGGGGGAUAACCG
RNAcentral lists this ribosomal RNA (120 nucleotides) under uncultured bacterium. RNAcentral's name for it is "partial 16S ribosomal RNA". It matches the Rfam family "Bacterial small subunit ribosomal RNA", at positions 29 to 149 of the family's 1533-position model. The record is from RNAcentral.